This 758-nucleotide long non-coding RNA is filed under the name Rattus norvegicus (Norway rat). RNAcentral describes it as "long non-coding RNA NONRATT012120". The record is from RNAcentral. Lineage: Eukaryota; Metazoa; Chordata; Mammalia; Rodentia; Muridae.
CAUCACACAAACUGCAUUUCCAGGACCUUGGGGCGCUACCCAGAGAUGAGGGCUGGCCUGGAAAGCAGCCCUCCAGACACUAGGUCUUGGGUCCUCUGCCAUCACCACAAUCCCCAUUCCCACGCGCCAGCUCCACUCCAGCGCUAUUACUAGGCAAAGAAGAUCCGAGAGUCCGAUGAGAACACAGAGGCUCAGGAGGCCUCUGCUCCACUAGUGUGGUCCAGAGACAACAGAGGCCCCCAAAGGUGUGACACCGCCCGGCCCAGCCAGCAGGAGGGGGAAGCCACCAGGAGACGGAGUCUCCAAAACCUUCACGCCGCUUGAGCCCCACAAACUCCAUAUCCCUUCAGACCCUGGGUACCUCAGGGCCCAUCAUGCCCCAUCCUGCCCUAGACACUAAAGGCCCCUGUAGCCCCACGAUCCCCCAGUGCUCAGGGUGAUCAGCCUACCACGUCCGCCACCCUUGGCUAUCUCAGAUCCAGUCUCCGUUCGCGUUUCGCGCUUCCUGCCUACCCUGCUUCCGAAGAGAAGACAUACUGGAUCCCGGCCGGGAUCUCCGGCCCCAGCCGCCGCCAGUCGCGCGGCGCUUCCGGAUUCCUCUCGUGUAGGCCCGCCCACAACAUUCGGAGUGCCUAAUCCGGACCCGAAUUCCCCGCCGCCGGAUGUCAAUCAUCCAUACCUGGGGGUGGAUUGGCUCGUAUGAGGCCCGGGCGUGGCUUAAACUCUGCCUCUAGGAGCCUGGCUCUGGAGCCUGCGCG